This 64-nucleotide transfer RNA is filed under the name Cumberlandia monodonta. RNAcentral's name for it is "tRNA-Trp". Lineage: Eukaryota; Metazoa; Mollusca; Bivalvia; Unionida; Margaritiferidae. The record is from RNAcentral.
AAAGGUUUAAGUUAGUUAAACUAAAAGCCUUCAAAGCUUUAAUCGGCCCAUAAACCAACCUUUA